This 73-nucleotide transfer RNA is filed under the name Blumeria hordei DH14. Its description in RNAcentral is "tRNA-Ile (TAT) (tRNA-Ile-TAT-2-1)". It matches the Rfam family "tRNA". Rfam says of the family: Transfer RNA (tRNA) molecules are approximately 80 nucleotides in length. Lineage: Eukaryota; Fungi; Ascomycota; Leotiomycetes; Helotiales; Erysiphaceae. The record is from RNAcentral.
ACUCCAGUGACGCAGUGGUUAGCGUGUCGUUCUUAUAAUGCGAAAGUCGUGGGUUAGACACCCACCUGGAGUA